This 253-nucleotide ribosomal RNA is filed under the name uncultured bacterium. Its description in RNAcentral is "partial 16S ribosomal RNA". It matches the Rfam family "Bacterial small subunit ribosomal RNA", at positions 524 to 776 of the family's 1533-position model. The record is from RNAcentral.
UACAGAGGGGGCAAGCGUUGUUCGGAAUUACUGGGCGUAAAGGGUCUGUAGGUGGCUUGCUAAGUCAGACGUGAAAUCCCUCAGCUUAACUGGGGAACUGCGUCUGAGACUGGCGAGCUUGAGGGCAGGAGAGGAACGCGGAAUUCCAGGUGUAGCGGUGAAAUGCGUAGAUAUCUGGAGGAACACCGGUGGCGAAGGCGGCGUUCUGGACUGCAUCUGACACUGAAAGACGAAAGCCAGGGGAGCAAACGGG